RNAcentral lists this long non-coding RNA (1093 nucleotides) under Pongo abelii (Sumatran orangutan). RNAcentral describes it as "lincRNA". Lineage: Eukaryota; Metazoa; Chordata; Mammalia; Primates; Hominidae. The record is from RNAcentral.
CAGAGACAGGUACUAGUGAUUCCACUGGGCGCUAUAGGCAGGGCGCACUCAUCGAACUCCCCCAUCCCUUCCAGCCUCAGGGCCCGCCUGGUAGGGCUACUGAGCAAGGCCUUGGAAAACCGGAGCGAUUAGAGCGAAGUGCUUCGGUCAGUCAGUAUCUUUGAAAAUAAUUUGGCCAAUGAAAGCCCUGGUGUUGGAUGAAAGUACUAGCUGCUGGGAAUGCUACCCCUCCUUUUGGUUCUCCUUCAAGUCCUUCAAGUUCAAACAAUACAGAAGUGUAUAAAGUAAGAAUUGAAAGUCUCUUCGCUGCUCUAAUCUCACUCCUCAGAGGUGAUCACUGUGUGGAAGAUGAUCAAAGUAUGACAUUUCUUCUACCCUAGAGGUUGGCAUUUCUGCAGGCACAAAUGAGCUUGGUUUUCAAGCACCAGUCUUUGAACACAAGGAAUUCUUUUAAUGAUCACGCCGGACUAUAUAGACUUUGGAAUCAGACUCUUUGAAUUCCAGCUCUGCCAUUUACCAACUUUGACACUUUGGACAGGGUCUCAUUCUGUCACCCAGGCUGGAGUGCAGUGGCACGAUUAUAGCUCACUGCAACCUCAAACACCUGGGCUCAAGCAAUCCUUCCACCUCUGCCUCCUGAGUAAUUGGGACUACAGGCGUGUGCCACCACGCCCAGCUAAUUUUUAAUUUUUAAUUUUUUUGUAGAGAUGGAGGUCUUGCUAUGUCACCCAGGCUGGUCUUGAACACCUGGCCUCAAGUGAUCCUCUGGCUUCGGUCUCUCAAAGCUCUGGGAUUACAGACAUGAGCCACUGCACCCGGCUCUGUCUCCCCUUCCUAUGUGUGUUAGCUCUAGAACAAGAGAAGCCUUGUUGAGAUUCAUGGCUGCCCACCCCCCAUCACCUCUCUGACUUUGGGCAAGUUGCCUGGCCUCUCUCAGCCUUUAUUUUCUUUUUGUGAAAUGGGAAUAAUAAUAGUACUUGCCUCACAGGCAAAAUGUUGUGAGAACUAAACGAGAAAAUGCACAUAAAGCACUUGGCACUUAGUUCUUUUUAUGAUUAUAAUGAUAAUCAGACACAAUAAAUUAUUUCUCACA